AGAUUAGCUUGCUUUAUCUGUCAGCUAAGUGGCGCACGGGUGAGUAAUGUAUAGGUAAUAUGCCUCUUACUAAGGGAUAACAAUUGGAAACGAUUGCUAAUACCUUAUAUGCCUUUAAGACUAAAGUCUGCAAGGGAAAGAUUUAUUGGUAAGAGAUUAGCCUGUAUUGUAUCAGCUAGUUGGUGAGGUAAUGGCUCACCAAGGCUAUGACGCAUAACUGGUUUGAGAGGAUGAUCAGUCACACUGGAACUGAGACACGGUCCAGACUCCUACGGGAGGCAGCAGUGGGGAAUAUUGCACAAUGGACGAAAGUCUGAUGCAGCAACGCCGCGUGGAGGAUGACACAUUUCGGUGCGUAAACUCCUUUUAUAUAGGAAGAUAAUGACGGUACUAUAUGAAUAAGCACCGGCUAACUCCGUGCCAGCAGCCGCGGUAAUACGGAGGGUGCAAGCGUUACUCGGAAUCACUGGGCGUAAAGAGCGUGUAGGCGGGUGAAUAAGUCAGAAGUGAAAUCCAAUAGCUCAACUAUUGAACUGCUUUUGAAACUGUAUACCUAGAAUGUGGGAGAGGCAGA
This 574-nucleotide ribosomal RNA is filed under the name uncultured Arcobacter sp. RNAcentral describes it as "bacterial SSU rRNA". It matches the Rfam family "Bacterial small subunit ribosomal RNA", at positions 69 to 661 of the family's 1533-position model. The record is from RNAcentral. Lineage: Bacteria; Pseudomonadati; Campylobacterota; Epsilonproteobacteria; Campylobacterales; Arcobacteraceae.